AUUGAACGCUGGCGGCAGGUCUAACACAUGCAAGUCGAGCGGAUGAAGGGAGCUUGCUCCUGGAUUCAGCGGCGGACGGGUGAGUAAUGCCUAGGAAUCUGCCUGGUAGUGGGGGAUAACGUCCGGAAACGGGCGCUAAUACCGCAUACGUCCUGAGGGAGAAAGUGGGGGAUCUUCGGACCUCACGCUAUCAGAUGAGCCUAGGUCGGAUUAGCUAGUUGGUGGGGUAAAGGCCUACCAAGGCGACGAUCCGUAACUGGUCUGAGAGGAUGAGCAGUCACACUGGAACUGAGACACGGUCCAGACUCCUACGGGAGGCAGCAGUGGGGAAUAUUGGACAAUGGGCGAAAGCCUGAUCCAGCCAUGCCGCGUGUGUGAAGAAGGUCUUCGGAUUGUAAAGCACUUUAAGUUGGGAGGAAGGGCAGUAAGUUAAUACCUUGCUGUUUUGACGUUACCAACAGAAUAAGCACCGGCUAACUUCGUG
Molecule: ribosomal RNA, 484 nt
Filed under: uncultured bacterium
Lineage: Bacteria
Description: partial 16S ribosomal RNA
Rfam family: Bacterial small subunit ribosomal RNA
Source: RNAcentral